Molecule: non-coding RNA, 72 nt
Organism: Podarcis lilfordi (Lilford's wall lizard)
Lineage: Eukaryota; Metazoa; Chordata; Lepidosauria; Squamata; Lacertidae
Source: the annotation of a GenBank genome assembly
GCCAUAGCUCAGUGGUAGAGCAUCUGCCCUACAUGCAGAAAGUCUCAGGUUAAACAUCUCCAGAUAGGGACA